AGGCAGCAGUGAGGAAUAUUGGACAAUGGAGGCAACUCUGAUCCAGCCAUGCCGCGUGCAGGAAGACUGCCCUAUGGGUUGUAAACUGCUUUUAUACAGGAAGAAUAAGGCCUACGUGUAGGUUGAUGACGGUACUGUAAGAAUAAGCACCGGCUAACUCCGUGCCAGCAGCCGCGGUAAUACGGAGGGUGCAAGCGUUAUCCGGAAUCAUUGGGUUUAAAGGGUCCGUAGGCGGGUUUAUAAGUCAGUGGUGAAAUGCUGUGGCUCAACCAUAGCACUGCCAUUGAUACUGUAGAUCUUGAAUCGUUGUGAAGUGGUUAGAAUAUGUAGUGUAGCGGUGAAAUGCUUAGAUAUUACAUAGAAUACCGAUUGCGAAGGCAGAUCACUAACAACGUAUUGACGCUGAUGGACGAAAGCGUAGGUAGCGAACGGGAUUAGAUACCCCGGUAGUCUACGCCGUAAACGAUGGAUACUAGUUGUUUGGUUUUCGGACUGAGUGACUAAGCGAAAGUGAUAAGUAUCCCACCUGGGGAGUACGUUCGCAAGAAUGAAACUCAAAGGAAUUGACGGA
RNAcentral lists this ribosomal RNA (571 nucleotides) under uncultured bacterium. RNAcentral describes it as "bacterial SSU rRNA". It matches the Rfam family "Bacterial small subunit ribosomal RNA", at positions 346 to 917 of the family's 1533-position model. The record is from RNAcentral.